RNAcentral lists this long non-coding RNA (538 nucleotides) under Panax ginseng (ginseng). RNAcentral describes it as "long non-coding RNA (PGIN_LNC005278)". The record is from RNAcentral. Lineage: Eukaryota; Viridiplantae; Streptophyta; Magnoliopsida; Apiales; Araliaceae.
AUAAAACAUUGCAGAUAAGGCGAAUACGGCCAGUUACAGGAAAAGGAAAAUGCCAAGUUCAGCUUGGGAUAGAAUGUGCAGCUAAUUUGUAAAAGUAUGGUUGAAGAAUAGUAUUGUCAUGUGUUAGAUAGUUUAUGAUUGUGUAUUAGUUAAGGUUACUCGAUUUUGGGGAAAUAAUGUGUAAAGUUUAAUGUAUAAACAAUUUAUGUUUAUAUCUUCCGCAAUAGUGAUAGAAUUAGUAUACCGGAUCCGCGGCGAUUUGGGACCCGGAUUCGGGAAUGCUACAACUUCUGACUGGAUAUCGGAUAUGACGCUGAAGAAAACUUGCACUGAUGAAUAUCAACUCGCCAAGUAUCUAAAUACUCACAAAAUACACUCAAUAAUCUAGAGAGAGAAAGAGAGAAAGCUUAUGUUUCUGGUGUGAUUUUCAAUUCUAACUUAGCCCUCUAUUUAUAGAAAAAUUUUAGCAGACUUGACCUGCAACCUGAUGGCUUUACCUGCUACUAUUCUCAUCCACCACAUUUAAAAUAAAAUUCAG